AGAGUUUGAUCCUGGCUCAGAAUCAACGCUGGCGGCGUGCCUCAGACAUGCAAGUCGAACGCGAAAGUUCCCUUCGGGGGGCGAGUAGAGUGGCGCACGGGUGAGUAACACGUAGGUAAUCUACCUUCGGAUGGGGAAUAACAACCGGAAACGGUUGCUAAUACCGCAUAAUGCAGCGGCACCUAAUGGUGACAGUUGUUAAAGCGGGGGACCGUAAGACCUCGCGUCUGGAGAGGAGCCUGCGGCGGAUUAGCUAGUUGGUAAGGUAACGGCUUACCAAGGCUAUGAUCCGUAGCCGGCCUGAGAGGGCGGUCGGCCACACUGACACUGACAUACGGGUCAGACUCCUACGGGAGGCAGCAGUCGGGAAUUUUGGGCAAUGGGCGAAAGCCUGACCCAGCAACGCCGCGUGAAGGAUGAAAUCCUUCGGGAUGUAAACUUCGCAAGAACGGGAAGAAUAAGCCGGUAUUAACACCACCGGUGAUGACGGUACUGUUUGUAAGCUCCGGCUAACUCCGUGCCAGCCGCCGCGGUAAUAC
This 539-nucleotide ribosomal RNA is filed under the name uncultured bacterium. RNAcentral's name for it is "bacterial SSU rRNA". It matches the Rfam family "Bacterial small subunit ribosomal RNA", at positions 8 to 526 of the family's 1533-position model. The record is from RNAcentral.